RNAcentral lists this long non-coding RNA (875 nucleotides) under Cricetulus griseus (Chinese hamster). RNAcentral's name for it is "lncRNA (ENSCGRG00000025966.1)". The record is from RNAcentral. Lineage: Eukaryota; Metazoa; Chordata; Mammalia; Rodentia; Cricetidae.
CCCCACCUUCCUACAUCCAUAGGCUCUUUCAGUGAGUCAUACCCAGUCUCCAUUUCAUGACUCAGCUUCUGUGACCUGGUGACUUUCUCACUGUGGCCCUCCGGAAUUUGGGUUACACCUUUCCUUCUUGGGUGGAGUGCUGUGGUUGGAUUUCCCCUGCCCAUCUCCUUUUCCAGCUGUUGGUGGCUUCCUCAUGCCUCCAUAGACAAGUGACCUUUGGGGAGUGGCAGUAUUUGAGAAAUCAUUUUCCGUUGUUUGACUGUCUUGAUAGCUUGAACCAUUUCUCCUUUAGGUCUGGAUGAGAAUUAUUUGUCAUAAAUCAUUUUACCUAGUUCAGGGAGGGCCAAUAUCGCCAGAUAAUUGAUUUUGUGUAUUUAAACUUCUCCUCACCAAUGAACUAGUGAAUGAGUGAGCAUAAAGCACCAUGUACCGUGCCUGACACACAGGAAACAUUUGCAAGUGGCAUUAUUAACCAUCAUCUUUGUUGAAUCUACUGUGAGCAGGCAUGGACUUAUUUGUCUGAGGAACAGUGGAAUUCUGUGGGCUGGAGAAAUUCAGGCAGCUGGCAGUUGAACUUUAAGUACCACUGUAGCAGACACCAGCCUUCCCUCUCAGUCUCACUGGCCUUGAAGUGAUGAUAAUGACACAUUCGGAGCAGCUGGAGAUUUCUGUGGAGCCAGACUGCAGAGGUGACCAUAAGGAAGAGAGUGCAGAUGAAACAGGAAAAGCAGAUGCCAGAGAGGCUGAGGAUGGGUGAGCAAAGUGCAGUAACGCAGAGCACAUGGCAAAUACAGCGUGUAUGGUGGCAAUAUUCACUAGACUGUUACCAGAGAAGUCUCAGCAGUGUGAGAAACUUCAAAAUCCUGCUGCACUGA